UACCGCCUACGGGAGGCAGCAGUGGGGAAUAUUGCACAAUGGGGGAAACCCUGAUGCAGCGACGCCGCGUGAAGGAUGAAGUAUUUCGGUAUGUAAACUUCUAUCAGCAGGGAAGAAAGAAAUGACGGUACCUGACCAAGAAGCCCCGGCUAACUACGUGCCAGCAGCCGCGGUAAUACGUAGGGGGCAAGCGUUAUCCGGAAUUACUGGGUGUAAAGGGAGCGUAGACGGUUAAGUGAGUCUGGAGUGAAAGGCCGGGGCCCAACCCCGG
RNAcentral lists this ribosomal RNA (271 nucleotides) under uncultured bacterium. RNAcentral describes it as "partial 16S ribosomal RNA". It matches the Rfam family "Bacterial small subunit ribosomal RNA", at positions 333 to 618 of the family's 1533-position model. The record is from RNAcentral.